AUGUACUACGUGCAAUACUUAACAAAAGGUAUACAUGCAAUAUCGAUCGAUCAUUCUUUUUCAUUCGUGGAACUGAUUGGCGGCGGCGACGCUGUGGCUGCACAUUCGGAUCUGGGUGACUUCCUCGAACAAUUCGAUCUGAACGAUGAUGACUUUGCUGAUGUGGAGAUCGAUGAGGAUGAUCCUGCAAUUCAAGAAAGUGUCCGCUGGCUUGCCCUAGCCAGGGUCCAUACAAGCAGGAACUUCAGCCCGUCUGCUUUCUACAAGGAUAUGAGGGCUGCAUGGAACCCCGUGCAGAACGUGAGAUUUCGGCCGGUUGGCCCUAAUCGCUUUGUCGUCCAAGCAUCUUGCUUGGGGGAUUGGGAACUCAUAAUGAUGCAAGGACCUUGGCUGUUCCGCAAUAUGGUUGUGCUCUUGUGCACGUAUGACGGCUUCAGUCAGGCCAAGGAGGUGGAAAUCUUUCAUAUUCCAAUUUGGCUCCAGAUUCACAAGCUACCAGACCCAUACUGCAAGCAAAAUAUUGUGGAGAAGCUGUUGAAAGAUGCAGGAGAGAUUAUGGAGAUGCGUUUGAACGGAAACACCCGAGGUGAUUAUGUUAGGGUUAGGGUGAAAAAUGAUAUCCGAAAGCCCCUUACAAAGUACGUCAGUAUUGUUCGGGAUAAGGAGCGCCAGGUAUACCUGGUUCAAUAUGAGAAACUUGCUAGGUUUUGUAAGUUUUGUGGCCUUAUUGGUCAUGAACACAAAGAGUGUGUCCUGGGUAUCCAUGAUGAGAAGACCUUCAAGUUUGGGGACUGGAUCUACGCAGAUGCUCCCAAUAAGCCUCGGCCAGAAGGACGACCCACUAAGGCGACAGGCAAUGAGUGUAAGCAGGCCGAUACCCGGAAGGAUGGUAGAUCUGAUCCGGAACAUGCUCCACAUGAUCCCGAGGUCAUGAUACGGCUUCGAGUCCGAUCAAGAAAUCUGGUGAAACAUUAG
RNAcentral lists this ribosomal RNA (975 nucleotides) under Triticum aestivum (bread wheat). RNAcentral's name for it is "partial small subunit ribosomal RNA". Lineage: Eukaryota; Viridiplantae; Streptophyta; Magnoliopsida; Poales; Poaceae. The record is from RNAcentral.